Molecule: small RNA, 29 nt
Filed under: Bombyx mori (domestic silkworm)
Lineage: Eukaryota; Metazoa; Arthropoda; Insecta; Lepidoptera; Bombycidae
Description: ovarian small RNA-33824
Source: RNAcentral
UGCCUAAAAGACCCGUUAAUGGGUCCGGA